UGUGCAACCAAAAACUGCUUCUGCAUUAAUCUAACAGAUUCAUCUUGAAGGAAACACAGGUUUUUGCACAAAGCUGGUGGCACAGUUGAAUAUUAUACUCUCUGUGUUUAGCUGUACAGCAUUUAUCAUAAGGUGUGACGAAAUUUUACGCUGGUUGUCACCUACCACAACCCUCCUCCUUUAUUCGGGUUUGGGACCACUGUUAUCAAAGGCGCGCCUCAGGCGCAAGGCGCACCCCCAGGGGCCUCGGGGCAGCUGAGGCGCAAGACCUCACUGAGGCGCACCGAGGCGCGAGGCGCACCGAGGCGCGCCCCAAUGAGGCAAGGCGCUAGGCUGCUAGGAUUUUUUUUAUUUUAAGUUUGUCCAGCAGCCAGCAAAAA
RNAcentral lists this unclassified non-coding RNA (380 nucleotides) under Hevea brasiliensis (rubber tree). The record is from RNAcentral. Lineage: Eukaryota; Viridiplantae; Streptophyta; Magnoliopsida; Malpighiales; Euphorbiaceae.